UAAAAGAAAAACAUAUUUUAAGUAAAGAAAGAACUUGCUGCAUUUGGAAGCCAAAGAGAGGGCAGGCAGAAGAGCCAUCAGGGUGCAGAGCGGGCUGGGGCUCCAGGGCUUUGAAAUCCUUUCCAGCGUUGUCACUUGAAUGUCGAACACGUUAUUCUCAGAGGACACUAAAGAGAAGUACAGGCUGAUUUCCUCACACUGUUGGUGGUGCAUUUGAAAACAUGGGACACAGCCUGUGCAGCAACGCCCUUGGCCAGUGACGACACUCAGCAGCCCUUCCCAAGUCUUACUGAGGAUCCCCUGCCUGUCAAGAACUCCCCUGGGCCCUGAGAAUGCCCCGUGAACAGAAGAGAACAGGCAUCGGACUACCUUUAUGUUAAAGAUCUCUCAUCUAGAGGAGGAAAGACAAGCUUGACUCUCCUUGCAACCAGGAAAUUAGGCUUUCAUCAGACCUGUACCACUGGGGACUGUGAGGGUCAGCAGACAGAAAUGGGGUCUCUGCCUUCAGAGCACUUUUGAUGUCUCUCUGGGUGGGUACCGCCUGGAGGGGAAGAGCAGCGAGAAGGCUCUAUUGUUAAUGAUAGGGCCCCGGUCUGGCCUUUCCUCUCUGAGCCCCCAAAUACACCGCCACGCAGCUCACCUGCCUAGCAGAUGGCAGAAGCUCAGGGUUUCGGUGGAAGCGGACUUCUGGCAGUGGUAGAGUUAGCACCUGCGGAUUCUACUCCCUGCCAUUUCCCGUGCAGCCAUCCUGUGCUGUGGCACUUCCUCUGCUUCGCAGAGAUCUUCUCUGCGUGGGGUCCUUGUCGAGGCGGUCCUAGUGGUACUUUGUGAGUGUUCUCUCCAAGUCUUCGCCACAUCAGCUUAGUAACAUCUGUCAGGUAAGAGAGGCUCAGAACACCCACACCUCUCCCUGAUACCACCCCUAAAUCCCACCCCUUAAGUACAUGCUUUUUUUCCCCUAACUUGUUUUGGCUGUGCUGAGUUUUCGUUGCUGUGUGCGGGCUUUCGCUAGUUGGGGCCGGUGGGGGCUGCUCCUUGCAGUGCGAGGGCUUCUCUGUGAGGUGGCUUCUCUUGUCGCAGAGCACGCACAGCCUCAGUCAUCGUGGCACACAGACC
Molecule: long non-coding RNA, 1116 nt
Filed under: Capra hircus (goat)
Lineage: Eukaryota; Metazoa; Chordata; Mammalia; Artiodactyla; Bovidae
Description: lncRNA (ENSCHIG00000003757.1)
Source: RNAcentral